GAUGAACGCUGGCGGCGUGCCUAAUACAUGCAAGUCGAGCGAACGGAUGAGAAGCUUGCUUCUCUGAUGUUAGCGGCGGACGGGUGAGUAACACGUGGAUAACCUACCUAUAAGACUGGGAUAACUUCGGGAAACCGGAGCUAAUACCGGAUAAUAUUUUGAACCGCAUGGUUCAAAAGUGAAAGACGGUCUUGCUGUCACUUAUAGAUGGAUCCGCGCUGCAUUAGCUAGUUGGUAAGGUAACGGCUUACCAAGGCAACGAUGCAUAGCCGACCUGAGAGGGUGAUCGGCCACACUGGAACUGAGACACGGUCCAGACUCCUACGGGAGGCAGCAGUAGGGAAUCUUCCGCAAUGGGCGAAAGCCUGACGGAGCAACGCCGCGUGAGUGAUGAAGGUCUUCGGAUCGUAAAACUCUGUCAUUAGGGAAGAACAUAUGUGUAAGUAACUGUGCACAUCUUGACGGUACCUAAUCAGAAAGCCACGGCUAACUACGUGCCAGCAGCCGCGGUAAUACGUAGGUGGCAAGCGUUAUCCGGAAUUAUUGGGCGUAAAGCGCGCGUAGGCGGUUUUUUAAGUCUGAUGUGAAAGCCCACGGCUCAACCGUGGAGGGUCAUUGGAAACUGGAAAACUUGAGUGCAGAAGAGGAAAGUGGAAUUCCAUGUGUAGCGGUGAAAUGCGCAGAGAUAUGGAGGAACACCAGUGGCGAAGGCGACUUUCUGGUCUGUAACUGACGCUGAUGUGCGAAAGCGUGGGGAUCAAACAGG
RNAcentral lists this ribosomal RNA (766 nucleotides) under Staphylococcus aureus. RNAcentral's name for it is "bacterial SSU rRNA". It matches the Rfam family "Bacterial small subunit ribosomal RNA", at positions 28 to 776 of the family's 1533-position model. Lineage: Bacteria; Bacillati; Bacillota; Bacilli; Caryophanales; Staphylococcaceae. The record is from RNAcentral.